CAUCACAUUAAAAACACUGGUUCCUGUAUGAUCCCCAAAGUUAAGCAACAUCAGACUUGGUCUGUACCUAGAUGGGUGAUCACUUGGGAAUACCAGGUGCUGUAAG
Acanthosepion pharaonis is the source of this 106-nucleotide non-coding RNA. The record is from the annotation of a GenBank genome assembly. Lineage: Eukaryota; Metazoa; Mollusca; Cephalopoda; Sepiida; Sepiidae.